Molecule: ribosomal RNA, 445 nt
Filed under: uncultured bacterium
Lineage: Bacteria
Description: bacterial SSU rRNA
Rfam family: Bacterial small subunit ribosomal RNA
Source: RNAcentral
UUGCCUACGGGAGGCAGCAGUGGGGAAUAUUGGACAAUGGGCGCAAGCCUGAUCCAGCCAUGCCGCGUGAGUGAUGAAGGCCUUAGGGUUGUAAAGCUCUUUCGCCGGUGAAGAUAAUGACGGUAACCGGAGAAGAAGCCCCGGCUAACUUCGUGCCAGCAGCCGCGGUAAUACGAAGGGGGCAAGCGUUGCUCGGAAUCACUGGGCGUAAAGCGCACGUAGGCGGGUCGUUAAGUCAGAGGUGAAAGCCUGGAGCUCAACUCCAGAACUGCCUUUGAUACUGGCGACCUCGAGUUCGAGAGAGGUUGGUGGAACUGCGAGUGUAGAGGUGAAAUUCGUAGAUAUUCGCAAGAACACCAGUGGCGAAGGCGGCCAACUGGCUCGAUACUGACGCUGAGGUGCGAAAGCGUGGGGAGCAAACAGGAUUAGAUACCCUAGUAGUCCC